UGACGGUUUGAAUGCUGGAAGUGUAGAUUGAGUACUGACAGUUUGAAUGCUGGAAGUGUAGAUUGAGUACUGACAGUUUGAAUGCUGGAAGGUCAGUGUAGAUUGAGUACUGACAGUUUGAAUGCUGGAAGUGUAGAUUGAGUACUGACAGUUUGAAUGCUGGAAGUGUAGAUUGAGUACUGACAGUUUGAAUGCUGGAAGUGUAGAUUGAGUACUGACAGUUUGAAUGCUGGAAGUGUAGAUUGAGUACUGACAGUUUGAAUGCUGGAAGUGUAGAUUGAGUACUGACAGUUUGAAUGCUGGAAGUGUAGAUUGAGUACUGACAGUUUGAAUGCUGGAAGGUCAGUGUAGAUUGAGUACUGACAGUUUGAAUGCUGGAAGGUCAGUAUAGAUUGAGUACUGACAGUUUGAAUGCUGGAAGGUAAGUGUAGAUUGAGUACUUACUGUUUGAAUGCUGGAAGGUAAGUGUAGAUUGCUAUGCUGCUGAGGUUGUAGAUGAA
This is a long non-coding RNA of Oncorhynchus keta (chum salmon), 500 nucleotides long. RefSeq lists it as uncharacterized. The record is from RefSeq and is a predicted model, not a curated record. The transcript is spliced from 3 exons. NCBI's taxonomy places the organism in Eukaryota, Metazoa, Chordata, Actinopteri, Salmoniformes, Salmonidae.